GACUCGAAUAACAUGUCAUUACAAAAUAUGUAUGACAACGUGCAAAGUGUUGAUUGUAUUAAAUGCUAAAAGUGAUUAAUUAAUCUGGCGUUAAUUGCCAAUCAUUUGUUGAUUCUUUAAUCACAAGAUUAGGAGGGGCAGUGGCAGCAGAUUAAAAUAUGGCUGGCAGCAGAUUAGACAAAUUUGGUACAAUAUUCAAAAGAGUUCAAGGUUUAUUAAAAUCUGGGGCCUGGAGUAAAGUUGAUCGUCCCCUUUGGUAUGAUGUUUAUGAAAAAUUCCCUCCAAGAGUUGCUCCCCUUUAUGAAAGACCUGUACCUAAAGACAAAGUACGGCCAAUUUUGUAUCCAGAGGAUAUUCUCAGAGUACAAUUUCAUAAAAUGUAUGGUAAUAUGCAAUUAGAGGAUUUAGCUACAGAAGAUCCGAAGAGUAAGACAAACUGUCAAAAAUUUAUUGACAAGUAUAUGGAAUUAACGGCAAUGGAAUCUCCACCAGAUGAUGUUUUUCAAGCUGCGAUUGCUUCUUUAGACUUCUAUGGAAAACCAUUACAGACAAAAAAGGAAAGGAAGAACAGCCAAGAAAUGAAAGGAAAAUCAAAUAUUUCUGCGCUGAGUAAUAUUAAUGAACUGUAUAAUGACGAAGAAUAUUAUGUAGAAAAUAAAUUAGACAUAGAUAUUACUGAACUCUUAGAAAACACAAUAGAAGAAGAUGAUAAAAAACACUGGUGAAAGCUUGAUUCUGAUUGGCUGGGGUGAAAAACACUUGUGAAAGCUCGAUUCUGAUUGGCUGUGUAGAAAAACACUUGUGAAAGCUUGAUUCUGAUUGGCUGUGUAGAAAAUAUAAACUUUGUGAAUGUUAGUUUGAAAAUAGACUAGAUUAUCAAGACUAGUGAACAGAGCAGACAGGGAGUGUAUGGAACAAGUGGCUGGAUGUUCAAAUGUUAGUCGGACUCUGUUACAAUGUCUGGAUAGGAAAACAUAAAUUGUAAUCCUUUAACAAUAAAAACUAAUUUUAAAUAA
Patella vulgata (common limpet) is the source of this 1016-nucleotide long non-coding RNA. RefSeq lists it as uncharacterized. NCBI's taxonomy places the organism in Eukaryota, Metazoa, Mollusca, Gastropoda, Patellidae. The transcript is spliced from 5 exons. The record is from RefSeq and is a predicted model, not a curated record.